UAAGACGAACCGUGCGAACGUUGUUCGGAAUCACUGGGCUUAAAGGGCGCGUAGGCGGCUUACCAAGUCAGGGGUGAAAUUUUGCGGCUUAACCGUAACAGUGCCUUUGAUACUGGUAGGCUCGAGGGAGAUAGGGGUCUGCGGAACUUCCGGUGGAGCGGUGAAAUGCGUUGAUAUCGGAAGGAACGCCGGUGGCGAAAGCGGCAGACUGGAUCUCUUCUGACGCUGAGGCGCGAAAGCUAGGGGAGCAAACGGGAUUAGAUACCCCGGUAGUCCUAGCCCUAAACGAUGGGUACUAGAUUGUAAGCGUGACAUGCGCCUACAGUCGAAGCAAAAGUGUUAAGUACCCCGCCUGGGGAGUAUGGUCGCAAGGCUGAAACUCAAAGGAAUUGACGGGGGCUCACACAAGCGGUGGAGCAUGUGGCUUAAUUCGAGGCUACGCGAAGAACCUUAUCCUAGGCUUGACAUGUGCGAAAGCGUCAGGAAGUAGGCGCCGGAAACGGCCGCCCAACGGUAUCCAGUCCGGAACCUGAUACAGGUGCUGCAUGGCUGUCGUCAGCUCGUAUCGUGAGAUGUCGGGUUAAGUCCCAUAACGAGCGAAACCCUUGCCUCUAGUUGCCAGCGGGUCAUGCCGGGGACUCUAGAGGGACUGCCGGUGUUAAACCGGAGGAAGGUGGGGAUGACGUCAAGUCCUCAUGGCCUUUAUGCCUAGGGCUGCACACGUGCUACAAUGCCGCGAACAAAGGGACGCAAACCCGCGAGGGGGAGCAAAUCCCAAAAAACGCGGCCCAGUUCAGAUCGAAGGCUGCAACUCGCCUUCGUGAAGCCGGAAUCGCUAGUAAUCGUGAAUCAGAAUGUCACGGUGAGUACGUUCCCGG
RNAcentral lists this ribosomal RNA (878 nucleotides) under uncultured Planctomycetota bacterium. RNAcentral describes it as "bacterial SSU rRNA". It matches the Rfam family "Bacterial small subunit ribosomal RNA", at positions 521 to 1377 of the family's 1533-position model. Lineage: Bacteria; Pseudomonadati; Planctomycetota. The record is from RNAcentral.